This 611-nucleotide small RNA is filed under the name Pan troglodytes (chimpanzee). Its description in RNAcentral is "retained intron". The record is from RNAcentral. Lineage: Eukaryota; Metazoa; Chordata; Mammalia; Primates; Hominidae.
GGGGCCCGCGCGCGGAUCGGGUUGCGAAGAUAAUUAAAGAUUUACACACAGCUGGAAGAAAUCAUAGAGAAGCCGGGCGUGGUGGCUCAUGCCUAUAAUCCCAGCACUUUGGGAGGCUGAGGCGGGCAGAUCACUUGAGAUCAGGAGUUCAAGACCAGCCUGGUGCCUUGGCAUCUCCCAAUGGGGUGGCUUUGCUCUGGGCUCCUGUUCCCUGUGAGCUGCCUGGUCCUGCUGCAGGUGGCAAGCUCUGGGAACAUGAAGGUCCUGCAGGAGCCCACCUGCGUCUCUGACUACAUGAGCAUCUCUACUUGCGAGUGGAAGAUGAAUGGUCCCACCAAUUGCAGCACCGAGCUCCGCCUGUUGUACCAGCUGGUUUUUCUGCUCUCCGAAGCCCACACGUGUGUCCCCGAGAACAACGGAGGCGCGGGGUGCGUGUGCCACCUGCUCAUGGAUGACGUGGUCAGUGCGGACAAUUAUACACUGGACCUGUGGGCUGGGCAGCAGCUGCUGUGGAAGGGCUCCUUCAAGCCCAGCGAGCAUGGUGAGCAGGGCGGAGUGCGGCAGGGGUGGCUGGGUGUGUUCCCACAGCUGCCUGGGCUGAGGGUGGGGUG